GCGGACGGGUGAGUAAUGCCUAGGAAUCUGCCUGGUAGUGGGGGAUAACGUUCGGAAACGGACGCUAAUACCGCAUACGUCCUACGGGAGAAAGCAGGGGACCUUCGGGCCUUGCGCUAUCAGAUGAGCCUAGGUCGGAUUAGCUAGUUGGUGAGGUAAUGGCUCACCAAGGCGACGAUCCGUAACUGGUCUGAGAGGAUGAUCAGUCACACUGGAACUGAGACACGGUCCAGACUCCUACGGGAGGCAGCAGUGGGGAAUAUUGGACAAUGGGCGAAAGCCUGAUCCAGCCAUGCCGCGUGUGUGAAGAAGGUCUUCGGAUUGUAAAGCACUUUAAGUUGGGAGGAAGGGCAGUUACCUAAUACGUGAUUGUUUUGACGUUACCGACAGAAUAAGCACCGGCUAACUCUGUGCCAGCAGCCGCGGUAAUACAGAGGGUGCAAGCGUUAAUCGGAAUUACUGGGCGUAAAGCGCGCGUAGGUGGUUAGUUAAGUUGGAUGUGAAAUCCCCGGGCUCAACCUGGGAACUGCAUUCAAAACUGACUGACUAGAGUAUGGUAGAGGGUGGUGGAAUUUCCUGUGUAGCGGUGAAAUGCGUAGAUAUAGGAAGGAACACCAGUGGCGAAGGCGACCACCUGGACUGAUACUGACACUGAGGUG
Molecule: ribosomal RNA, 659 nt
Filed under: Pseudomonas sp. EECC-317
Lineage: Bacteria; Pseudomonadati; Pseudomonadota; Gammaproteobacteria; Pseudomonadales; Pseudomonadaceae
Description: bacterial SSU rRNA
Rfam family: Bacterial small subunit ribosomal RNA
Source: RNAcentral